CCCUAUGCCACAAGUGCAGCCCUAAAAAGAAAAGAAAAGAAAAAAAGUUGGAAUCUCCCCUGUUCUUGGAGGAAGCACUUUGGGAUGCUCCUACCUGAAAUUUGGAAAAGGGGCCUUCAGUGAAUCAUUUGGGGAAGUGGAAUCCAUGUGGCAGUGUCUCAGUUCAACCAGUUCCUUCACCAUAAAGCAUUUUUAUUAUUUGAAUAGAGUGGAUAUGUUUCUUAGGAAAGAGCACCGUGUGAGAGAAUGAAUAACUGCUCAGUAAAAUUUAACUUCAUUGUAAUGACAGAUUUGCUCAGUUAUUUCCCCACAGAUACUGGACAUGCCUCAUGUUGUCCUGUGCCUGGCCCAGUGCCUGGAGCCACUACUGGGAACUCACUGAAUCAUACUGAAUGAAUGAGAUGAAUGCUGGGUCGAGCACCCAGGCUUCGAUUGGUGUUAUUUCCUGACCAGGCUUUCAGGAUCCCUGGAUCCCUGGAUCAAGAGACUUUCUUCCCCCCAGCUUGUUAGUCUGUGAAUUUUAAAUGGAGAAAAGUGAUGAUGUGAUGUUGCAAGUGUGAGAAGCGUGCUGCAGGAGAAUAACACAGAGAAUGCUGUGAGCAGGAAGAUGUUCUUGUAAAUGGUGUGGAUUUGGAAGUGCUGAGAAGCUGACAUCUGAUCCAAGACCUGGAGGAGGUCAAGGAUGAGCCUGUGUCCUUCUGGGGCAAGAAUAAAUUUAAAAAAAAAAAAAAAGAGAGAGAGAGACUUAAGGGCAUACUCCAGCCAAACAAUAUAACUGAUAGCUCUGUGGGGGUGGGGUGGGGUGGGAUGUAUAUUCCAGGAAGACAGAGAAUGUGAGCUUGUGGUUAUUGGCAGGUCAGUAUUUGUGGAUUAAGUGAAUAAACUCAAAAAAGGAAGCAGAAUGCUAUAGUGAGUGAUGAAACCAUGAAUACCUGGAAAAACUACAUUUAAAUAAUUGCUGUUCAUGGAGUCAUGAGGUUUAAUACUGUUAUGGUCUGAAUGUUUGUGCUCAUAUGUUCAUAUGUUGGAAUCCUAACCCCCAUGCUGAUGGUGUUAGGAGGUGGGGUGUUUGGGAGGUGAUUAGGUCAUGAGCGUGGAGCCCUCCUGAGUGGGAUUAGAGCCCUUAAAGAAGAGGCCUCACGAGCUCCCUAGCCUUCUCUGCUGCAUGAGGAUAAAAGAAGUCUGUGACCCAGAAGAGGGCCUUCAUCUGGUCAUGCUGGCCCCCCGAUCUUGGACAUUCAGCUUUAAGAACCAUGAGAAAUAAAUUUCUAUUGUUUA
Phacochoerus africanus (Common warthog) is the source of this 1278-nucleotide long non-coding RNA. RefSeq lists it as uncharacterized. The transcript is spliced from 2 exons. The record is from RefSeq and is a predicted model, not a curated record. NCBI's taxonomy places the organism in Eukaryota, Metazoa, Chordata, Mammalia, Artiodactyla, Suidae.